Pygocentrus nattereri (red-bellied piranha) is the source of this 2325-nucleotide long non-coding RNA. RefSeq lists it as uncharacterized. The transcript has 3 exons. NCBI's taxonomy places the organism in Eukaryota, Metazoa, Chordata, Actinopteri, Characiformes, Serrasalmidae. The record is from RefSeq and is a predicted model, not a curated record.
UCUCUUUUCUGGUCUUAAUAUAAUUAUUUUUGAUAAUAAAUAGAUUACAUAAAUCAUACUAUAUAAAUGCAUCAAUAUUAGCAUGUAUACUAAUUUCAGUAAAAUAUGAUAUACACACCUGCACCACUUUGAAUAUGAAAAAAAGCACCACAGUCACUUCAGUCAUUUACCACCACACAAUUAACAUGAAUAGGCAGCAGCACAUUCACGUUAACUUAUCUAAUACUUUACCUUGUAAGGUAGCCGUUUAUAUUGCGUCGUUUUUUCCAUAACAGACAUCUGAGGGAGAUGUUUCCAGAUAUGUAGCUAACGUUUCCAAGGGUGUCCUAGCAAAAGUCAGAUAUCCAACUUUUAGCUAACCUAGGUAGUUGGCUAGCUCACAGAGGUAGCAGAGCUUACAAGGACAUUUGACAUUAGUGAGCUAGGCUAACCAACUAGUUAGUAUAAUCUUACAUUAUGUUUUAUGAUUAACUCAUGAAAGCUAAUAGAGUUAACUUGGUAAUUUUCGCAUAUACUGGACCUCUGAGCUUCAGAAAGCACUGUUCUCCAUUCAGGUCCGUUAACGGACGUUCCCGCUUUCUCGGGGGAAGAAGGGCCUAAUCGAUCCGUAGUACUACGUCCGUAGUGUCUACAUCCGCUGUUAACAUAAUGGGCUAUAAAUUUAUUUAAAUUUACUAACAAACUUUAAAACAUAAGGCAGUUACAGUACUCUUGCAACAUAAACCCCUUAUUUCGGUGUUGUAUCCAUUUAAUGCAUUACCCACUUGAUUUACAACGUACCACCCUUUCCUACUGAUGUAACCUUCCGCCACUGCAGCCAUCUUUCUCGGGGUCUGCUGUGUACAUCUAGAAACGCUCGAAUGCGCCCGAGAUAAAGAUGUUUCGAGGAUUUUGAUGUACCCAGCAUUCAUUCAGCACUUGAGGCACGCGAACCCAGCACAACAAGCAUACCAGGUUCUGUUAGUGAUGCUGGCUGCUCGGCCGCCGAAAACGCCCCAGGUCACGCCGCUCCAGCUCCAUCAACUUCUACUGAAGACGCAGCACUUACUACCCAGGCGGAACAGCAUGAAGCACUACUUGAAUCGACACAACUGGGAGUAAGUGCUAUACAUGAAGAGCCUGAUGUGAAUCUACUGAGGAAACAUGCCGCUGCCUUUGUGCUUUCUGCUAGAGAGAAACACCGUUUAUCACAGAGUGCAGUCAAUGAUAUUGUAGCUGUGUGCAGCACUACCAAGCUUCACUGCUCGACAGUUUGAAGAAUCAGAUGGCACGAGUAUUUCAGAGGCAUUCAGAAGUUACAGUUCAGCUGCUUAGUGAGUCAAUGGACAUUUUUGAUAAUUUUGAAGACCCAUUUGCCAGAGUUUCCACUACAUAUAUGCAAGACUCAACUGCCAAGGAGCUGUUUGGGGUAGUUGAAGCACAAGAAAUUAAGAUUGCCCAGUCUGCAUGCUAUAAAGGACAAGGACCCUCUCGUGCUCCUGCUAUUAGAUCUGAGUGCAUUUACUACAUACCUUUGAUCAAAAGUUUGGAGCAGUUGCUUUCACAUCCUGCGGUUCUGUCCAUGUUUGAUAAAGAUGUAGAGACAUGCAGGGCUGGAUUUUUAAAGGACAUCAUUGAUGGUGAUAUUUUGAAAUCACAUCCAUUGUUUUCUGUUAGACCCAAUGCCCUACAGCUGAUACUGUAUACUGACAAAAUAGAACUGUGUAAUCCCCUGAGGUCACAUGCCUCAAAAAACAAACGUCUAAUGGUGUACUAUAUUUUAGGGAAUAUAAAUCCUAAAUAUAGGUCUAAGCUGGCUGAUAUCCAUCUACUUGCUAUUGCAAAAGCAACUGAUAUUGCUCAGUGUAGCGUUGAUGUGAUAGUGAAUAGAAUACAGGAAGAUCUGAAUUUGCUGUACAAUGAGAGAGAAUCAGAACAGUGGUGGGUGAGAGAAUUGAAUAUGGAACAUUAGUCUCUUUUUGCGGUGACACCUUGGCUCAGCAUGAGGUUACAGGUUUUAAAGAGGGAGCUGGAUUUUCAUUCUGUAAAUGCAGACACUGUGAGUGCAGUUUUGAAGACAUGCAGCUUUACUUUGAUGAGGACAACUUUGUUCAACGGACAUUAGGUAGGCACAUCAGACGGUGUAAUGAAAGUGAGAGGGCCUCUACAAAUUUUUUAAGAAACAUUUUGAAAACCACGUACGGAAUUAACAGGAAAAACAAAUUAGUAGACUUUGCUUUUACAAGUGAGUAUUUUGACCAUAUUAACAUUUUAAGGCAUAUUUUCUAACUCCAAGCUGGAUAAAUUUGAAUGCUUAAUGGAUUUAAGUAUAGCAGGUGAUGUGUA